GGGCGAGGCAACGGUAGCCACGACAGUAUGCUCAUCUGCACUCUGCUUUUUGCGCAGUGAUGCAGAAAGAAGCGGCCGAAUUCCAGUCGGCCAUGGAUAAAUCCUCAGAGACUCCAGAGAUGCGGAUACCACAGGCCUGCUCACCAUCAAGCUAAAGACAGUUAUGAGCCUUCGCAGGAGGUGUUGUCUCUUAACGUGGAACGAGCCCUUUGGGCAGGGCACACUGAGGCGCCACCACAACUGGCCAUGUUCCUAAG
This is a long non-coding RNA of Dermacentor albipictus, 257 nucleotides long. RefSeq lists it as uncharacterized. NCBI's taxonomy places the organism in Eukaryota, Metazoa, Arthropoda, Arachnida, Ixodida, Ixodidae. The record is from RefSeq and is a predicted model, not a curated record.